GGGUUGUGAGGUUAAGCGACUAAGCGUACACGGUGGAUGCCCUGGCAGUCAGAGGCGAUGAAGGACGUGCUAAUCUGCGAUAAGCGUCGGUGAGGUGAUAUGAACCGUUAUAACCGGCGAUUUCCGAAUGGGGAAACCCAGUGUGUUUCGACACACUAUCAUUAACUGAAUCCAUAGGUUAAUGAGGCGAACCGGGGGAACUGAAACAUCUAAGUACCCCGAGGAAAAGAAAUCAACCGAGAUUCCCCCAGUAGCGGCGAGCGAACGGGGAGGAGCCCAGAGCCUGAAUCAGUGUGUGUGUUAGUGGAAGCGUCUGGAAAGGCGCGCGAUACAGGGUGACAGCCCCGUACACAAAAAUGCACAUAUUGUGAGUUCGAUGAGUAGGGCGGGACACGUGGUAUCCUGUCUGAAUAUGGGGGGACCAUCCUCCAAGGCUAAAUACUCCUGACUGACCGAUAGUGAACCAGUACCGUGAGGGAAAGGCGAAAAGAACCCCGGCGAGGGGAGUGAAAAAGAACCUGAAACCGUGUACGUACAAGCAGUGGGAGCCUCUUAAUGGGGUGACUGCGUACCUUUUGUAUAAUGGGUCAGCGACUUAUAUUCUGUAGCAAGGUUAACCGAAUAGGGGAGCCGAAGGGAAACCGAGUCUUAACUGGGCGUUAAGUUGCAGGGUAUAGACCCGAAACCCGGUGAUCUAGCCAUGGGCAGGUUGAAGGUUGGGUAACACUAACUGGAGGACCGAACCGACUAAUGUUGAAAAAUUAGCGGAUGACUUGUGGCUGGGGGUGAAAGGCCAAUCAAACCGGGAGAUAGCUGGUUCUCCCCGAAAGCUAUUUAGGUAGCGCCUCGUGAAUUCAUCUCCGGGGGUAGAGCACUGUUUCGGCAAGGGGGUCAUCCCGACUUACCAACCCGAUGCAAACUGCGAAUACCGGAGAAUGUUAUCACGGGAGACACACGGCGGGUGCUAACGUCCGUCGUGAAGAGGGAAACAACCCAGACCGCCAGCUAAGGUCCCAAAGUCAUGGUUAAGUGGGAAACGAUGUGGGAAGGCCCAGACAGCCAGGAUGUUGGCUUAGAAGCAGCCAUCAUUUAAAGAAAGCGUAAUAGCUCACUGGUCGAGUCGGCCUGCGCGGAAGAUGUAACGGGGCUAAACCAUGCACCGAAGCUGCGGCAGCGACACUAUGUGUUGUUGGGUAGGGGAGCGUUCUGUAAGCCUGUGAAGGUGUACUGUGAGGUAUGCUGGAGGUAUCAGAAGUGCGAAUGCUGACAUAAGUAACGAUAAAGCGGGUGAAAAGCCCGCUCGCCGGAAGACCAAGGGUUCCUGUCCAACGUUAAUCGGGGCAGGGUGAGUCGACCCCUAAGGCGAGGCCGAAAGGCGUAGUCGAUGGGAAACAGGUUAAUAUUCCUGUACUUGGUGUUACUGCGAAGGGGGGACGGAGAAGGCUAUGUUGGCCGGGCGACGGUUGUCCCGGUUUAAGCGUGUAGGCUGGUUUUCCAGGCAAAUCCGGAAAAUCAAGGCUGAGGCGUGAUGACGAGGCACUACGGUGCUGAAGCGACAAAUGCCCUGCUUCCAGGAAAAGCCUCUAAGCAUCAGGUAACAUCAAAUCGUACCCCAAACCGACACAGGUGGUCAGGUAGAGAAUACCAAGGCGCUUGAGAGAACUCGGGUGAAGGAACUAGGCAAAAUGGUGCCGUAACUUCGGGAGAAGGCACGCUGAUAUGUAGGUGAAGCGACUUGCUCGUGGAGCUGAAAUCAGUCGAAGAUACCAGCUGGCUGCAACUGUUUAUUAAAAACACAGCACUGUGCAAACACGAAAGUGGACGUAUACGGUGUGACGCCUGCCCGGUGCCGGAAGGUUAAUUGAUGGGGUUAGCGGUAACGCGAAGCUCUUGAUCGAAGCCCCGGUAAACGGCGGCCGUAACUAUAACGGUCCUAAGGUAGCGAAAUUCCUUGUCGGGUAAGUUCCGACCUGCACGAAUGGCGUAAUGAUGGCCAGGCUGUCUCCACCCGAGACUCAGUGAAAUUGAACUCGCUGUGAAGAUGCAGUGUACCCGCGGCAAGACGGAAAGACCCCGUGAACCUUUACUAUAGCUUGACACUGAACAUUGAGCCUUGAUGUGUAGGAUAGGUGGGAGGCUUUGAAGUGUGGACGCCAGUCUGCAUGGAGCCGACCUUGAAAUACCACCCUUUAAUGUUUGAUGUUCUAACGUGGGCCCCUUACCGGGGUUGCGGACAGUGUCUGGUGGGUAGUUUGACUGGGGCGGUCUCCUCCUAAAGAGUAACGGAGGAGCACGAAGGUUGGCUAAUCCUGGUCGGACAUCAGGAGGUUAGUGCAAUGGCAUAAGCCAGCUUGACUGCGAGCGUGACGGCGCGAGCAGGUGCGAAAGCAGGUCAUAGUGAUCCGGUGGUUCUGAAUGGAAGGGCCAUCGCUCAACGGAUAAAAGGUACUCCGGGGAUAACAGGCUGAUACCGCCCAAGAGUUCAUAUCGACGGCGGUGUUUGGCACCUCGAUGUCGGCUCAUCACAUCCUGGGGCUGAAGUAGGUCCCAAGGGUAUGGCUGUUCGCCAUUUAAAGUGGUACGCGAGCUGGGUUUAGAACGUCGUGAGACAGUUCGGUCCCUAUCUGCCGUGGGCGCUGGAGAACUGAGGGGGGCUGCUCCUAGUACGAGAGGACCGGAGUGGACGCAUCACUGGUGUUCGGGUUGUCAUGCCAAUGGCACUGCCCGGUAGCUAAAUGCGGAAGAGAUAAGUGCUGAAAGCAUCUAAGCACGAAACUUGCCCCGAGAUGAGUUCUCCCUGACUCCUUGAGAGUCCUGAAGGAACGUUGAAGACGACGACGUUGAUAGGCCGGGUGUGUAAGCGCAGCGAUGCGUUGAGCUAACCGGUACUAAUGAACCGUGAGGCUUAACCUUACAACGCCGAAG
RNAcentral lists this ribosomal RNA (2925 nucleotides) under Escherichia coli. RNAcentral describes it as "bacterial LSU rRNA". It matches the Rfam family "Bacterial large subunit ribosomal RNA". Lineage: Bacteria; Pseudomonadati; Pseudomonadota; Gammaproteobacteria; Enterobacterales; Enterobacteriaceae. The record is from RNAcentral.